Molecule: long non-coding RNA, 569 nt
Organism: Pan troglodytes (chimpanzee)
Lineage: Eukaryota; Metazoa; Chordata; Mammalia; Primates; Hominidae
Exons: 2
Source: RefSeq, a predicted model, not a curated record
AGACUGGAACGGGAAUAGAGCACCGAGGGCUGUACCCAGGGGCAGGGCAGAAGACCAGCCCACCCGCCCAGGGCCGAAUCACUCACUGGACCCGCCUCAGGUGAAGAAACUGUGCAACAUGCCCAGAUCAUACAACAAGGAAGUAAUGGAAUUGAGAUUCUAUCCUGGGCGCCAAGCCAUUGCUCUAAAUCUCUAUGCUGCACAAGAUACAGCUGAGUAAAGAUUAGUAACAACAACAAAAAAAAAAACAACAAAAAAAGACAAGUCCCAGGGAAGGUUCCUGUGAGUCUUUAUGAUCCACUGGCCAUAAAUUAGAGAGAGGCAAUGAAGACUAAAUGCGGAGAGAUCCAGUUUGCUUCCUAGUCUUAGUACAUUGCCAUCUAGGCAUGAGUAGUCUCCUUAUCUCCGUUGUCUGAGAAUGCUAUCUUCUGGCUCUGAGGUCCAGAGCCACUAAGAGAGAAUGCUGACUUGAUGUCAGAAAAUCAAGACAAGGUCUAGUUUAAUUAUGGAACAUGAAACAAAAACUUUACUCCUCUUUUAAAGUAAAAAUGCAAAUCUGUUCCGUUUUA